CAGCCGCCGCGGUAAUACGUAGGGGCCAAACGUUGUCCGGAUUUAUUGGGCGUAAAGGGCUCGUAGGCGGUUCAACAAGUCGGUCGUGAAAGCCCGGGGCUCAACCCCGGGACGCCGGUCGAAACUGUUGUGACUAGGGUCCGGUAGAGGUGAGUGGAAUUCUCGGUGUAGCGGUGGAAUGCGCAGAUAUCGAGAGGAACACCAGUAGCGAAGGCGGCUCACUGGGCCGGUACCGACGCUGAGGAGCGAACGCAUGGGGAGCAAACCGGAUUAGAUACCCUGGUAGUCCAUGCCGUAAACGAUGAACACUAGGUGUGGCGGACUCAUUGACGUCUGCCGUGCCGCAGCUAACGCAUUAAGUGUUCCGCCUGGGGAGUACGGCCGCAAGGCUAAAACUCAAAGGAAUUGACGGGGCCCCGCACAAGCGGCGGAGCAUGCGGCUUAAUUCGACGCAACCCGAAGA
Molecule: ribosomal RNA, 463 nt
Filed under: uncultured bacterium
Lineage: Bacteria
Description: bacterial SSU rRNA
Rfam family: Bacterial small subunit ribosomal RNA
Source: RNAcentral